AUGCGUCCCGGAUCGUAUACGGGUCCAAAUAUUCAAGUUUAGAUUGUUGCAAGUUGGUUUUGUAGCGAAGUAGAGAGUACUCUUGUAUCAUUGUUCCUGGAGAAGAUGUCAAAUACAGUUUCGGGUUAAAGAUACUCCUUCAUCAGUGCAUGUCUGCUUCACACGGAUAUAAGCUAUUGAAACUGAUUUAAAAAGUACAUAAAAGGUCGGUAAUGUCUAAUGAGAAAUGCUACUCAAGUUCAAAUUCAAUUCUAUGAUAGUGGCCUGCAAUUACUUUACAUCCCCAUUAACAAUUUAAAGGACUCAAAAACUGAGCACACUUUGAUGUUUCAGCAAAAACAAAUCCUCCACAAAUAUCAUGGUUACAGUUUCAUUUUUUAGUUUUUACUGAUCUUCUUCGUCGUAAUUAACAGUGGCCGGUAAACUAAUUUACCUGGUGACGAUGCUGUUAAAAUCAUAAGAGAGUGGUCGUAAAAGUUAUUUAAGGAGGGAACUUUCAGGUGGGACCUUUUUUUUUAACUUUUUACUGGUUGAUAAAGAGAAAGUGACGAUGAGACAGAGCUGGAUCAAGUUACCGCCGCCACGUUAAACCUUCUUCUCUA
Molecule: long non-coding RNA, 602 nt
Filed under: Brassica rapa (field mustard)
Lineage: Eukaryota; Viridiplantae; Streptophyta; Magnoliopsida; Brassicales; Brassicaceae
Description: long non-coding RNA (BRAP_LNC004152)
Source: RNAcentral